This 30-nucleotide non-coding RNA is filed under the name Rattus norvegicus (Norway rat). Lineage: Eukaryota; Metazoa; Chordata; Mammalia; Rodentia; Muridae. The record is from RNAcentral.
UGGUUAAACUUAACUGACCUCUUAUUUCUG